AGCGAACGCUGGCGGCAGGCCUAACACAUGCAAGUCGAACGAACCUUUCGGGGUUAGUGGCGGACGGGUGAGUAACACGUGGGAACGUGCCUUUAAGUUCGGAAUAACUCAGGGAAACUUGUGCUAAUACCGAAUGUGCCCUUCGGGGGAAAGAUUUAUCGCCUUUAGAGCGGCCCGCGUCUGAUUAGCUAGUUGGUUGAGGUAAUGGCUCACCAAGGCGACGAUCAGUAGCUGGUCUGAGAGGAUGAUCAGCCACAUUGGGACUGAGACACGGCCCAAACUCCUACGGGAGGCAGCAGUGGGGAAUCUUGCGCAAUGGGCGAAAGCCUGACGCAGCCAUGCCGCGUGAAUGAUGAAGGUCUUAGGAUUGUAAAAUUCUUUCACCGGGGACGAUAAUGACGGUACCUGGAGAAGAAGCCCCGGCUAACUUCGUG
RNAcentral lists this ribosomal RNA (434 nucleotides) under uncultured bacterium. RNAcentral describes it as "partial 16S ribosomal RNA". It matches the Rfam family "Bacterial small subunit ribosomal RNA", at positions 29 to 507 of the family's 1533-position model. The record is from RNAcentral.